CCGAAGAAAGUGCAGCGGUUCCCUCUGCGCCCCCGCGCGCCCCGCCCGGCGCCGCCCCAAGCCUCGGGCCCCUUUUCCAUUCCGGGCGGGGAGGGAAAGGGGUCGGAGACCCGGGAGCGCGGGGCGCGUCGCGGCUCCCGUGGGUCGCGCCCUUGGCCCCGUCGUCCAGCCCAGAGAAGCCCGCUCCGCGUGGAGGCGGGUCCUCCAGGGCCUCCCCCACAGCCGGUCCUGGGCCCCGACGUCUCGCCCGCAACCCAGAGGCGCCGGGGUCCACUGCUGCCAGCCUGCAGCCCAGGGGAGGGUUGGCUCGGCCGUGUAGCCUCAAAGCCCGGGCUCCCCGCCCGCAGGGCCAGCGCGCCGGGCAAGACCCUCCAGCGCGCCCUGAGUUUGCGCGCCUCGCACGUCCAGCCGUGACCUGGGCCUCUCCGCGAGCCAGCCCGAGGCAGUUGGCAUCACAUCCUGGGAACCCCGGCUCAGUCUCAGAGAUUAAUUGGUGCUUUUAAUUACCGGCUGGUCUGCAGAAACCGAAAGUCCAAGACAAAGAUGAGCCAUCAGCUCGGAGCAGUGGCUCUGUAAAGACAGCCUCGUCCUGCCCCGCUGGGUCUCCGGAGAGAGAGACGUCCAAGUGGGAACCCCUCGGAAGCGGAGCCCCACAUCAGUCACGACCGAGAAAGGCAAAUGCUAACUUGAAAUGAAAAUAUCAGAAAAAUCCUUUCGGAAUGAGGGGCCCUGGCUGGCUUUGCACCACGGAAGGUUCCAGAGGCACGGCAGAGCCAACGGCAAAUUAAAACACACCCUGUCAAAAGAUUUCCGCUGUCUCCCAGGUAUUUAUUUUUCGGAACUUGGCGAAGGAGGGUUUAAUUAAGACACCCUCAGGCGGGAGCCUUGUGCAGAGUGGAAGAGGCUGACGGUUCUUGGGAGUCCGUCAGGACGGCUUGGAGCAUGCGGCUCAGGUCAGAGGCAGAAGGCGUGGGCAGCUCCGGGGGCUGCGCAGACCCAGCUUCCCUGGCUGCAAGCCCUCAAGGAGCUCCACCAGCUAAGCGUUCUAAUAAAG
Molecule: long non-coding RNA, 1054 nt
Organism: Ailuropoda melanoleuca (giant panda)
Lineage: Eukaryota; Metazoa; Chordata; Mammalia; Carnivora; Ursidae
Exons: 3
Source: RefSeq, a predicted model, not a curated record